This 468-nucleotide ribosomal RNA is filed under the name uncultured bacterium. RNAcentral's name for it is "partial 16S ribosomal RNA". It matches the Rfam family "Bacterial small subunit ribosomal RNA", at positions 28 to 507 of the family's 1533-position model. The record is from RNAcentral.
GACGAACGCUGGCGGCGUGCUUAACACAUGCAAGUCGAACGGAAAGGCCCUGCUUUUGUGGGGUGCUCGAGUGGCGAACGGGUGAGUAACACGUGAGUAACCUGCCCUUGACUUUGGGAUAACUUCAGGACACUGGGGCUAAUACCGGAUAGGAGCUCCUGCUGCAUGGUGGGGGUUGGACAGUUUCGGCGGUUGGGGAUGGACUCGCGGCUUCUCCGCUUGUUGGUGGGGUAGUGGCUUACCAAGGCUUUGACGGGUAGCCGGCCUGAGAGGGGGGCCGGCCACAUGAGGACUGAGAUACGGCCCAGACUCCUACGGGAGGCAGCAGUGGGGAAUAUUGCACAAUGGGCGGAAGCCUGAUGCAGCGACGCCGCGUGCGGGAUGACGGCCUUCGGGUUGGAAACCGCUUUCGCCUGUGACGAAGCGUGAGUGACGGUAAUGGGUAAAGAAGCACCGGCUAACUACGUG